CGGGUACGGAGAAUUAGGGUUCGGUUCCGGAGAGGGAGCCUGAGAAACGGCUACCACAUCUAAGGAAGGCAGCAGUGGUGAAAAUUACCCAAUCCUGAUUCAGGGAGGUAGUGACAAGAAAUAGAAAUCUGGGCCACUUUCGUGGUUACGGAAUUUAAAUGAGAACAAUUUAAAAGACUUAUCGAGGAACAAUUGGAGGGCAAGUCUGGUGCCAGCAGCCGCGGUAAUUCCAGCUCCAAUAGCGUAUAUUAAAGUUGUUGCAGUUAAAAAGCUCGUAGUUGAACUUCUGUACAGUCUCAUUUCUGGCUUAGGUCAAGAUGUUGGCUGUGCAUCCGCUUGCAAAGCUGGUUCGGCCUUAACUGGUCGGCUAGUAGAGUAAGCCCUUUACUUUGAAAAAAUUAGAGUGUUUCAGGCAGGCAAUGGCUCGAAUACAUUAGCAUGGAAUAAUGGAAUAGGACUUUUGUCCAUUUGGUUGGUUAUUGGACUUAAGUAAUGAUUAAAAGGGACAGUUGGGGGCAUUGGUAUUUAACAGUCAGAGGUGAAAUUCUUGGAUUUGUUAAAGACUAACUUAUGCGAAAGCAUUUGCCAAGGAUGUUUUCAUUAAUCAAGAACGAAAGUUAGGGGAUCAAAGACGAUCAGAUACCGUCCUAGUCUUAACUAUAAACUAUACCGACUCAGAAUCGGAAUGGCCUUUCAAACUAUUCCGGCGCUGUAUGAGAAAUCAAAGUCUUUGGGUUCUGGGGGGAGUAUGGUCGCAAGGCUGAAACUUAAAGGAAUUGACGGAAGGGCACCACCAGGCGUGGAACCUGCGGCUUAAUUUGACUCAACACGGGGAAACUUACGAGCGCAAAACUAGGGUAGGAUUGACAGAUUGAGAGCUCUUUCUUGAUUCUUAGGGUGGUGGUGCAUGGCCGUUCUUAGUUGGUGGAGUGAUUUGUCUGGUUAAUUCCKUUAACGAACGAGACCUUAACCUGCUAAAUAGUACGUUGAUCUUUAAUUGGCGUUACUUCUUAGAGGGACUAUGUGUAUUGAAACACAUGGAAGUUUGAGGCAAUAACAGGUCUGUGAUGCCCUUAGAUGUGGUCGGCCGCACGCGCGUUACAAUGAUAAAUUCAGAAAGUUUACCUGGUUCGGAAGAAUUCAGGGUAAUCUUUGUAAUAUUUAUCGUGUUAGGGAUCGAUCUUUGCAAUUAUAGAUCUUGAACGAGGAAUGCCUAGUAAGUGCGCUUCAUCAGAGCGUACUGAUUACGUCCCUGUCCUUUGUACACACCGCCCGUCGCUCCUACCGAUUUCGAAUUAUCCGGUGAACCUUCUGGACUGAAGUAGCAAUAC
This 1331-nucleotide ribosomal RNA is filed under the name Uronema sp. 1 PJS-2009. RNAcentral describes it as "SSU rRNA". It matches the Rfam family "Eukaryotic small subunit ribosomal RNA", at positions 358 to 1749 of the family's 1831-position model. The record is from RNAcentral. Lineage: Eukaryota; Ciliophora; Oligohymenophorea; Philasterida; Uronematidae.